GACGAACGCUGGCGGCGUGCCUAAUACAUGCAAGUAGAACGCUGAAGGAGGAGCUUGCUUCUCUGGAUGAGUUGCGAACGGGUGAGUAACGCGUAGGUAACCUGCCUGGUAGCGGGGGAUAACUAUUGGAAACGAUAGCUAAUACCGCAUAAUAGCAGUUGUUGUAUGACAACUGUUUGAAAGGUGCAAUUGCACCACUACCAGAUGGACCUGCGUUGUAUUAGCUAGUUGGUGGGGUAACGGCUCACCAAGGCGACGAUACAUAGCCGACCUGAGAGGGUGAUCGGCCACACUGGGACUGAGAAACGGCCCAGACUUCUACGGGAGGCAGCAGUAGGGAAUCUUCGGCAAUGGACGGAAGUCUGACCGAGCAACGCCGCGUGAGUGAAGAAGGUUUUCGGAUCGUAAAGCUCUGUUGUAAGAGAAGAACGAGUGUGAGAGUGGAAAGUUCACACUGUGACGGUAUCUUACCAGAAAGGGACGGCUAACUACGUG
This 495-nucleotide ribosomal RNA is filed under the name uncultured bacterium. Its description in RNAcentral is "partial 16S ribosomal RNA". It matches the Rfam family "Bacterial small subunit ribosomal RNA", at positions 28 to 507 of the family's 1533-position model. The record is from RNAcentral.